This 1158-nucleotide long non-coding RNA is filed under the name Oncorhynchus mykiss (rainbow trout). Its description in RNAcentral is "lncRNA (ENSOMYG00000048506.1)". The record is from RNAcentral. Lineage: Eukaryota; Metazoa; Chordata; Actinopteri; Salmoniformes; Salmonidae.
AUGCUCCCAGGUGAUUUUAUUAUAACAGCGUUAGGCAUCCAUAUCCCAGGUGAUUUUAUUAUAACAGCGUUAGGCAUCCAUAUCCCAGGUGAUUUUAUUAUAACAGCGUUAGGCAUCCAUAUCCCAGGUGAUUUUAUAAUAACAGCGUUAGGCAUCCAUAUCCCAGGUGAUUUUAUUAUAACAGCGUUAGGCAUCCAUAUCCCAGGUGAUUUUAUUAUAACAGCGUUAGGCACCCAUAUCCCAGGUGAUUUUAUUAUAACAGCGUUAGGCAUCCAUAUCCCAGGUGAUUUUAUUAUAACAGCGUUAGGCAUCCAUAUCCCAGGUGAUUUUAUUAUAACAGCGUUAGGCAUCCAUAUCCCAGGUGAUUUUAUUAUAACAGCGUUAGGCAUCCAUAUCCCAGGUGAUUUUAUCAUAACAGCGUUAGGCAUCCAUAUCCCAGGUGAUUUUAUCAUAACAGCGUUAGGCAUCCAUAUCCCAGGUGAUUUUAUCAUAACAGCGUUAGGCAUCCAUAUCCCAGGUGAUUUUAUCAUAACAGCGUUAGGCAUCCAUAUCCCAGGUGAUUUUAUCAUAACAGCGUUAGGCAUCCAUAUCCCAGGUGAUUUUAUCAUAACAGCGUUAGGCAUCCAUAUCCCAGGUGAUUUUAUCAUAACAGCGUUAGGCAUCCAUAUCCCAGGUGAUUUUAUCAUAACAGCGUUAGGCAUCCAUAUCCCAGGUGAUUUUAUCAUAACAGCGUUAGGCAUCCAUAUCCCAGGUGAUUUUAUCAUAACAGCGUUAGGCAUCCAUAUCCCAGGUGAUUUUAUCAUAACAGCGUUAGGCAUCCAUAUCCCAGGUGAUUUUAUCAUAACAGCGUUAGGCAUCCAUAUCCCAGGUGAUUUUAUCAUAACAGCGUUAGGCAUCCAUAUCCCAGGUGAUUUUAUCAUAACAGCGUUAGGCAUCCAUAUCCCAGGUGAUUUUAUCAUAACAGCGUUAGGCAUCCAUAUCCCAGGUGAUUUUAUUAUAACAGUGUUAGGCAUCCAUAUCCCAGGUGAUUUUAUUAUAACAGCGUUAGGCAUCCAUAUCCCAGGUGGGGCUGGAAGGUUCUAUACACUACCAGUCAAAGUUGACACGCCUACUCAUCAGGGUUUUUCUUUCUUUUUACUGUUUUACUACUUUGGAUAA